Galeopterus variegatus (Sunda flying lemur) is the source of this 1544-nucleotide long non-coding RNA. RefSeq lists it as uncharacterized. The record is from RefSeq and is a predicted model, not a curated record. NCBI's taxonomy places the organism in Eukaryota, Metazoa, Chordata, Mammalia, Dermoptera, Cynocephalidae. The transcript has 4 exons.
UCAAUCCUGAGGGCCUGGCUUGACCAAUGCGCAGAGGACUUCCGAGAACCCCCUCACUUCCCGUGCUUACAGAAGCUGCUGGAUUAUCUCAAACGGGUGAUGCCAGGCUCUGACCCAGAGCGAAGAGCACAAAACCUUCUUGAGCAGUUUCAGAAGCAAGAAGUGGAAACUGACAAUGAGCAUCCUGAAGAUAAAGAAUAAAUGACUCAUUCAAGGUUACAAAGAAAGUGGCUGAGCACAAAUCUGAGAGUAUGUCUUCUGAUGCCAUCCUUUCCUGCUGCACCCAACCAGCCAGCCACAAAAAAACGAAAAAACAAUGUUGUUGAAAAAUGACCCAAUGAGUUGCUGGAUGCAGCAUGCUCCCCCCAACACCUCCGUGAUGGACAACAGGACACGACAGAAGUUAUCUCAAGAAUUGUCAGGUUCUCUGGGUCUCAACUUUCCAUCCAGUGAUCUCAGUCCUUGGUCUCAGUAUCCUCAAGGAAUAUUUAUCAUCAUGCUAAAGAAGGGAGUACACUCUACUAGGGGCAGAAAAUUUGCGUUUGUCCAGGGCUGCUGAAAACAUAUGAGGUAAAGAACAGGAGAACCUUUCUGAAAGCUCAGGUGUCCUGGAGACUGAAGGUGCCGUGCCAGGCAGGAGCCCAGCCACCCACACAGAGCCUCUCUCCUGUGCGCUCUCAGGAAAGAACAAGAUCCUGACGUACCAUAUCCUUCUGGAGCUGAAGCUGCCUCUGAGUCCGUUUCUGGUUUUCUUUCACGCUGCUGUCCAGGUUUGCAAAUUUUGAGGUUCCUUCCUAAGAAAUACAAGCGUACAAAGAGGGGAGUGAUGGAGGAUGCCACGCUGGAGAGAAGUGGAGGGACAUAUAGUGUCUGGUACACGACCCCGCAUGACUCUCUGAGUGCCAUGCAAAACAGGCCUGCAGCAGGCAGGCUCUGGCGUGGUGUUAUGCAAACGCUUGGCUGGCUUGUUGCAAGCGGUCUAUUUAUAAUGAAGUCUGGUGGUCUUGGAUUAUCCUGUUUUCCCCCCAACUCUGUAAGAAGAGCAACUGAUUUGGUUAUAAAAUCAAUCAUCAAUACAAGGCAAGCAAUUCUCAGAACCAGAGACAUUUUUACACAUCCCAAAUUUCACUCAAGAGUAAUUCCAUGUCCUGGAAAUGAAGAUCUCUUCCUCUGUACAUGUCAUGAUUUCUUGAUCUUGGCCUGAAAUAGAUGUGCCAGCAUUUUGUGAACAAAAGGGACUAUAUUUCUGUGGCAUUUCUUCGAUAAAUGAAACUUUUGUAGCGGAAGUUUUCUGAGGAAGUCCAGUACUGUGGUACAUCACCAAUCCAUGAAAGCCAGACCUUCACACAUUUUUUGCCCUCUUUAUCCCCCCAAUCAAUCCAAAGCUGCCUCUUGGGUUUGGAACACUGACUAAUCAACCCUUCUACCUGGUGUCUGAGGACAGAGGGCUCCCCUUCUCUCUUCCUGUCUGUAAUGAUCACCAGCUCUUCUACAUAAUGACUAAUCACGAGUUUCCUGACUACACAUAAAGUGUUUUCAGUGUC